This 467-nucleotide ribosomal RNA is filed under the name uncultured bacterium. RNAcentral describes it as "partial 16S ribosomal RNA". It matches the Rfam family "Bacterial small subunit ribosomal RNA", at positions 28 to 506 of the family's 1533-position model. The record is from RNAcentral.
GACGAACGCUGGCGGCGUGCUUAACACAUGCAAGUCGAACGGAAAGGCCCUGCUUUUGUGGGGUGCUCGAGUGGCGAACGGGUGAGUAACACGUGAGUAACCUGCCCUUGACUUUGGGAUAACUUCAGGAAACUGGGGCUAAUACCGGAUAGGAGCUCCUGCUGCAUGGUGGGGGUUGGAAAGUUUCGGCGGUUGGGGAUGGACUCGCGGCUUAUCAGCUUGUUGGUGGGGUAGUGGCUUACCAAGGCUUUGACGGGUAGCCGGCCUGAGAGGGUGACCGGCCACAGUGGGACUGAGAUACGGCCCAGACGCGUACGGGAGGCAGCAGUGGGGAAUAUUGCACAAGGGGCGGAAGCCUGAUGCAGCAACGCCGCGUGCGGGAUGACGGCCUUCGGGUUGUAAACCGCUUUCGCCUGUGACGAAGCGUGAGUGACGGUAAUGGGUAAAGAAGCACCGGCUAACUACGU